Austrofundulus limnaeus is the source of this 519-nucleotide long non-coding RNA. RefSeq lists it as uncharacterized. The transcript is spliced from 3 exons. Lineage: Eukaryota; Metazoa; Chordata; Actinopteri; Cyprinodontiformes; Rivulidae. The record is from RefSeq and is a predicted model, not a curated record.
GGAGAGUGGAAAAAUGCGUAUCUUGAAAACCAGCUGAAGGCUCUUCAGAUGAAUUAUGCUUUAAACAAGGAGGCGAGGACUUUGCAACUAUUCAUGUAAAGCUCAAAUCCCAGGCAGUUAUAAAGCCCUGCAGUUGUUAAUGAGAUCUGGAGCUGCCUCCUGCUGGCCCUGGACACCCAGCUGAUUCUCAGGCACAGUCAGGCUCCUGCAUCAGCUUGUGCCCUCCCUUCAUUACAAGAGAAUACAAACAAGGAGUAGAAAAGAUUGGGUAGAGAUUUUGUGAAAAUGGAGAACGUAAAUAUAUAAAAAUGUUGUACUUGCAUCCAUCUAAAUGUCAGUCUGUCUGUUUUGAUAUUAAGCCACCACCAAUGGAAUUUCUUCAAGUUGAGGCAUGAAAAGGCUUGAUUUAGUCAGUUCAAUUUCUAUAGGAAUUUAUAAAUCAUCUGCCGGAGAACAGAAAUACUACUAUUGGUAUACAGGUGCAACUGUAGUCCCCCCACCCCCCUUUGGUUGAAAAGA